Cucumis melo (muskmelon) is the source of this 1169-nucleotide long non-coding RNA. RefSeq lists it as uncharacterized. The record is from RefSeq and is a predicted model, not a curated record. The transcript is spliced from 5 exons. Lineage: Eukaryota; Viridiplantae; Streptophyta; Magnoliopsida; Cucurbitales; Cucurbitaceae.
UUUGAAGAAAAAGUUCUCAUCCAUCCUCCAUUUUUCCUUCUUCAAUUUACAGAGAAUAUUUAAGAGAGUGUUUGGAAGGAAGAAGAAGAGGAAUUUUACUAGAAUUUUAAGGUUGAAUAAGAGAAGGAGAACUCAAGCAAAGUGUAUCCAUGGCUGAAUCUUGGUUCGUUCUACACAUCACUUGUUUUUAAUUUGGUUUGAACUCUUCAAAAGGAAUUAAGAUGCCGAGAAGAAUUAAACCGAGCUUUUAGAACAAGGAUCUAGCCCAAGACGGCAGAGAUCGAGUUUUCGAUGCCUGAUAGACUGCCUUAGUUUGCUGAAGAUCCGUUAUCGAUUGCCAAGUCGACAGAUACAGGUAAAGAAAAGCGUUGUUCGUCGGCUUCACGCCAUCUUUCGGUCUAAGCUAGCAGGUAGUCCGGGAGGGGUGUGACAACAAUUAUUUCGAAGAAAGGCACUAAAUCAAAAUCUGUGCGAAGAAAACUCGACAGAUUUAGCAAGUACUAUUACGCACAAUGCGUCUUCCAAUGCCAGAUCACACAGCAAGCAAAGGGCAUCUCAUACUAGAUCACAUGGCAAGUAUGCAACAUCAUAUUCAAGAUCACACAACAUGAAUAGGGCAUUAUAUUAUAGAUCACACAACAUGAAUAGAACACCUUAUCCUAGAUCACACCACAAGGAUAAGGCAUUAUAUUGCAUUGGAUACAAAUAUAAUCUUAUUUUAUGAAACAUUGGCUUUAUAGUUUUCCACAUAACACCUGUCACGUAUUUUAACAUAAUUACUUCUAAGGGCUUAGAGGAAUUAUUUACAAUACAUUUCUUUCAAUAAAUAAUUCACGAAUAAUAUAUUUCUUUAUGCAGUUUAUCACCUUAUUUCAGUUUUACAAUCAAUCUAAUUCAUUCAUAAGUCUCAUGUGUUCGAGAAUUGAAAAGCAUAAGGGACUUUAUGCAACAUGGUCUUAGAUCUAAAUAUUUAAACACAUUUUAGAAACCUUUGUUAAGGAAAAAACCCACCCAUAGUUGCAGUUGGCUAGCUUUUUAUCCUAGUUUUCCUUCAUUAGGAAUUCCCUUACACUUAUCAGAAUCUUUGUCGGAAAUGAAUUCAUUCGGCUUGUUAAAAUCUUGGAUACUCUCCAAGUUUUUCUCAAACGCUUGAGGUGAAAAGCAACUUC